UGUCUUGUAGUUUAAAGGUAGAACUUCACUCUUCUAAAGUGACUAUUUGGGUUCGACUCCCAACGAGACAG
Molecule: non-coding RNA, 71 nt
Organism: Debaryomyces hansenii
Lineage: Eukaryota; Fungi; Ascomycota; Pichiomycetes; Serinales; Debaryomycetaceae
Source: Rfam